Molecule: ribosomal RNA, 497 nt
Filed under: uncultured bacterium
Lineage: Bacteria
Description: partial 16S ribosomal RNA
Rfam family: Bacterial small subunit ribosomal RNA
Source: RNAcentral
GACGGACGCUGGCGGCGUGCCUAAUACAUGCAAGUUGAGCGAUGAAGAUUGGUGCUUGCACCAAUUUGAAGAGCAGCGAACGGGUGAGUAACGCGUGGGGAAUCUGCCUUUGAGCGGGGGACAACAUUUGGAAACGAAUGCUAAUACCGCAUAAUAACUUUAAACAUAAGUUUUAAGUUUGAAAGAUGCAAUUGCAUCACUCAAAGAUGAUCCCGCGUUGUAUUAGCUAGUUGGUGAGGUAAAGGCUCACCAAGGCGAUGAUACAUAGCCGACCUGAGAGGGUGAUCGGCCACAUUGGGACUGAGACACGGCCCAAACUCCUACGGGAGGCAGCAGUAGGGAAUCUUCGGCAAUGGACGAAAGUCUGACCGAGCAACGCCGCGUGAGUGAAGAAGGUUUUCGGAUCGUAAAACUCUGUUGGUAGAGAAGAACGUUGGUGAGAGUGGAAAGCUCAUCAAGUGACGGUAACUACCCAGAAAGGGACGGCUAACUACGUG